GGUAGAGCAGGUUGUCCACUGAUUGCAGGGUUGGCAGUUCAAUCUCUGGCUCCUCCUGUCCGUGUGCCAAAGUGUCCUUGGGCAAGAAACUGAACCAUAAAUUGCCUCACUUAUUGUCUGUCCCGAGUCUGAGGUGAAAAGCUCCAGCUCAGUGGUGUGCGAGGAUUUUAAAAGCAGCAGGAGCAAAAAGGAUGAAGAGGCACCAUUUUUAUAUGCAGGGCGGCCAAGCUGUUUGCUGUGUGCCUCACGGUGUGACUCCAUCUGCUGCUCCAGAGCCCUCUGAGAUAUGGGCAAC
Molecule: long non-coding RNA, 295 nt
Organism: Xiphias gladius (swordfish)
Lineage: Eukaryota; Metazoa; Chordata; Actinopteri; Istiophoriformes; Xiphiidae
Exons: 3
Source: RefSeq, a predicted model, not a curated record